GGGGCUGUAGCUCAGUAGUAGAGCACACGCCUCCCAUAUGUGAGGCCCUGAGUUUGAUCCUCAGCACCA
RNAcentral lists this transfer RNA (69 nucleotides) under Ictidomys tridecemlineatus (thirteen-lined ground squirrel). Its description in RNAcentral is "Spermophilus tridecemlineatus (thirteen-lined ground squirrel) tRNA". It matches the Rfam family "tRNA". Rfam says of the family: Transfer RNA (tRNA) molecules are approximately 80 nucleotides in length. Their secondary structure includes four short double-helical elements and three loops (D, anti-codon, and T loops). The record is from Rfam by way of RNAcentral. Lineage: Eukaryota; Metazoa; Chordata; Mammalia; Rodentia; Sciuridae.